Molecule: ribosomal RNA, 207 nt
Filed under: uncultured bacterium
Lineage: Bacteria
Description: partial 16S ribosomal RNA
Rfam family: Bacterial small subunit ribosomal RNA
Source: RNAcentral
UACGUAGGGUGCAAGCGUUGUCCGGAAUUAUUGGGCGUAAAGAGCUCGUAGGCGGUCUGUCGCGUCUGCUGUGAAAACUCGGGGCUUAACCCCGGGCCUGCAGUGGGUACGGGCAGACUAGAGUGCGGUAGGGGAGACUGGAAUUCCGUGGUGUAGCGGUGAAAUGCGCAGAUAUCAGGAGGAACGACCGUGGCGAAGGCGGGUCUC